This 303-nucleotide ribosomal RNA is filed under the name uncultured bacterium. RNAcentral describes it as "partial 16S ribosomal RNA". It matches the Rfam family "Bacterial small subunit ribosomal RNA", at positions 507 to 807 of the family's 1533-position model. The record is from RNAcentral.
AGCAGUAGCCGCGGGAACACAGAGGGUGCGAGCGUUAAUCGGAUUUACUGGGCGUAAAGCGUGCGUAGGCGGCUAAUUGAGUCGGAUGUGAAAUCCCCGAGCUUAACUUGGGAAUUGCAUUCGAUACUGGUUAGCUAGAGUGUGGGAGAGGAUGGUAGAAUUCCAGGUGUAGCGGUGAAAUGCGUAGAGAUCUGGAGGAAUACCGAUGGCGAAGGCAGCCAUCUGGCCUAACACUGACGCUGAGGUACGAAAGCAUGGGGAGCAAACAGGAUUAGAUACCCCAGUAGUCCCUGUCUCUUAUAC